Long non-coding RNA from Arachis duranensis, 1230 nucleotides. RefSeq lists it as uncharacterized. The transcript has 3 exons. The record is from RefSeq and is a predicted model, not a curated record. Lineage: Eukaryota; Viridiplantae; Streptophyta; Magnoliopsida; Fabales; Fabaceae.
CAUCGCGAGUGGAGAGGUCGGUUCCGCCAUUUGCGCAGCAAGAUCAACAGCAAUUUGUGUUCCGCUGCUCUGCUGCCGCUGAUGUUCCUCAAUUUCUCUGCUCGGUGCCUUUGCCGCUGUCCCUCACUCUUCCAAAGGUUUCAACUAAUGUUUGCAUUGUAUAGUACAUCAAAAGAAAAGACAGAUUCAAUUAUAAGGUGAUCAACACUGAAUGCAGGGUUAAGUCCAUAGCAAGAAGAGUGGAAAGCUUGGUUCUGCACUCCUUAGCCACUAUCAAUACCAAAAAAGAAAGCUAGUUAGCCACUGUGUAGUUCCCUGCAAUUCACUAUUUCAGCAUCAAAGGUCUAAAUCAAGUUAAUCAACCAUGUGAGAUUCAUUCCCCUUUUUAGACACUCCUUCUUGUAGAAACACUUCAGCAAUAGAGUAGUCAAAUGAGAGUGACCAUCCAUUUCUUCCCAUUCAAGUAACAAAAUCUUACAUGUGCAUAAAAGAAAAAGUAAUAUGUUUGAGACUUUCCUGUUAUUUUCACUAAAGUGAGAAAAAGUGAAGAAUGGUUUGCAACUGAAUAUUAUAUCUGAAACUGAAGAAUGAAGAAUGGAUAAGGUGAAAGCUUUACCUAGUGGGAAUGUUGGAGCCAGUCUUGGAAGCCAUGGAUGUUAACAGCAAAGCACAAGUGACUGUAUUGCUUGGUUGGACUUCACACAACAAGGAAAGGGAUGAAAUGAAACAGGCAAAGGUGGAGAAAUGGACGAGAUGAAAGAAUAAAAAUGGAGAGAGAAUUUGUAACCAAUUAAACAAUGGUAAAGGUUUCAAUUCGCUGACAAUCAUAAAAGCAUCAAUUGUGCUUCUUUGCACAAGUUCUUAUUAUGAUUGUAGUUAUGAUUUUGUGCUGAGUUUUAAAAUGCACAACCUUCCUGCUUAUGAUUAGCCAAAGGCUCGGCCUGUGCUUUCUGGUAAUGCAUUGAGAUCUAUUUAGUUAUUAUAAUCGAGCUUGACUUUUAUGUCUUAAAGAAAAGUGUAAUUUUUUUUAAUAUAUUUUUAUAUUAGCUAAUUGUCUCUCUCUUUUUGGACAACAAUGUAUGAAAAGCUUUUCACUUUUGAGGGUGAAAUUGGUGGUGGCAGGUUAUUUCUUUCUUUGGUCUUGCCAAACCUACUUUAUAUAAUUAGAUACAAUUUUUCUAAUAAACUUAGAUAAUGGUCCUAAAUUGCUCUGAUAACAAAGCUAACUUC